Molecule: long non-coding RNA, 2541 nt
Filed under: Rattus norvegicus (Norway rat)
Lineage: Eukaryota; Metazoa; Chordata; Mammalia; Rodentia; Muridae
Description: long non-coding RNA NONRATT025314
Source: RNAcentral
CCCUCCCACCGACAUACAGGAGAGUUUUGCUGCAUUUAGCCCUAUUACGCUUGAAGUUUCAGCACGCUGAGCCAGGGUGGCUCGUGCUUCCCACACGUCUUCUGAGGCUGAUGCUUCAUGCAAUGCUGCACUUAGGUUCCAGUCACCUUUGGCUUCACUGCACCAUCCGCUCGAGAGAGACGCCGUGUGCGCUGAGCACUCGGGCUGUCAGGUACCCCACGUGAAGGGGGGGAGAGUGAGCUUCUCCAAGGAUUACGUAAUUGCCCAUCUGAAAAUCGGGAUCUGAAUUAGUGUUUGGUGAAAUCAAUUUGGCUGACUCAUCUUAAAUAUUUAAUUCUAACUUGAAAUUGUAGUUGUCUAUUUGAUUUAGAACAUCCCUCUCCCCCAUGCACACACACACACACACACACACACACACACACACACACACACACACCCCUACAUACAAACACACCCCCCCCACACACACACACACAAACCUUAAUGCAAGACAUCAUAGCAUGUGCAAACCAGGUGAUCUUUUGAAUGUUGUAGCUAUAAUUUGUACAGUGAGAUAGUAAGGUAGGGUGGGAUUGUGGGAGGUGGAAUUUGUUGUCCUAUUACCGUCUCUUGGUAAUUUAUAAACUACCUGAUUCUCUGCAUUGUGAUUUGUGCAUUUAUGUCCUGGGGUGCUCUGGCAUCCUGGCACCAAAAUCAGACUGUUUUACAGUUCCAUUCCUGGUGGAAGAAAAUGCCUCAAUAUAUUUUGUAACCAUAAGGAGAGUAUUUUUUUGUUAAUAUUAAAAAGAUCAGAAUUGGAUAUGCUUAGAUCAUCCAUUCUCAGGGCUCAAAUUUUAUGCCACUAUUCAGAAUGUUGUAUCAGUAGCAAACUUGGGCUGUUUUUCCUUUUAUCCCCCCGUACCCGCCUCUUUUUGGUUGUUGUUUGAUAAAAGUACCUGAAAAUUAAUUUGACCCACAGUUUGAAUCAUACUGUGAUUUACCCAGAGACCAAGUUGGGGAAUCAGAAGUACGAUGACGAGUUAGACACACGCGAAGAUCAGGAAUGCAUUUGUGUUGGGGAGUUGUCCCCAGGCUCUCACUGGUUGAAAGACUGCAUUUUAGAGAAAAGUUGUUCUGUUCCCUCCCGUGAUGACUUCGUGUGCCUCCCCUGCCAGUGUAGCAGGAGGAGGAGAAGCCAGCCAGCGGCUGUGAGGACGAGGUGGGCCGCUGCACAGAUGCUGUGGCUGUGCGUGAGCUCCUGGGGUGCUGCAGUACUGGGACACCCCCUGUGGCCCCUUGGCAAUCCCAGCCGUACAGAGGGAGGGAGGGAGGCCCUGUCUUCUGUUGGGUUGUGUCCAUGAAGCAUGGGCUGGCCAGUGUUCCAGAGGGGAGGCCUGUGGUUCUGACUUGACAACAUACGGGGAUGCCUACAGCUUGUCACACACUUGCACACUUUAGCUAUUAUUAUUACUUUGUCUGUGGCAUUUUCUUCUGUCUGUAAAGUGAAAGCACGGCAGAAAUGUGUUGACUGAACACUUAAUUAUGCUUUUUAAAUGUUUUGGUUACGUUUCUUUUUUCAUUUAUAUUAUAUGAAAUGAUUAAAUUUAGAAUAACCUCUAACACUCCUAUAAUUAUCAUUUAAAAUACUGAUGUUUUUAUUGUCUCGACAGUAGUCCGUCCUCAGAACAGUGCAGACACACUGUGUGAUUAGCAGGGACUUGAGGCUGUUUUGGUUCUGCCGUUCAGUUCCUGUGUACAGUCGCUCACCAGCAGCCACCAGACAGUGGCUGCGAGCGUGGAGAACAGUCAAAAAUCCACAACCUCCCGGUUUGCUUGUAGGGCCUAUUGAUUUAAAACUACUCCUUGCUCGGUGAAGGCACCUAGUCCUCCUGCACAAACGUAACGCUGGCAAACGGAGGCCUUGCACCUUUAUUUCACAGCCCCUGAGCUGAGCCGCCAGCCGCAUCCUUAGCCAACUGUGUCUGCAGCGGGCUCUGUGUCUCCUCUGUGCUUAACAACGUCCGAGAACCCAUAGCUUCCCACCUGCUGAUCGCUUCUCUGGAAUUUAAUUAUUUUUCAAUAAAUUCUGUAGUUUAUACUGUAUAUGAGACAUUUUAAAGAUAGUUGAAAUGACUGUAAAGGUGGUGUGUCUGCCAUGGAGACCGUGUGUUGUCCACUGGCAGGGAAAAUGAUCACCUCUAACUUGCAGAUAGUACUUUAUUCAUUAUUUUCUUGUCUGUUUUUCUUUGCUAAACAACCACAGACAGUUUCAGUGUCAUAGAUGGCCCCAGAGUUUGCCUCGGCUGCUGGUUCCAUAGCGGAAGAACGCAUCUGCCUUCUCUGCUGUAAAUAAAGGGGAGUCACUAGCGAAGUCAGGCUGAGCGUUCCGCUGACAAUGAACUACGUCCGUCACAUGCUGCAGCCUUUUAAAGAAACGUAUUUGUGCAUACAGCGGUCACUGUAGAGCUGCAACAGCACCUCCGGACCACAGUCACCUUUAGCUUUCCGUUCCGUUUGUUUUUCUUUUUAAUAAUUGUAGCCAAUAAAGUUAUUGUCUGUUCA